AGAUUAAGUUAUUAAGGGCGCACGGUGGAUGCCUUGGCACUAGAAGCCGAUGAAGGACGUUACUAACGACGAUAUGCUUUGGGGAGCUGUAAGUAAGCUUUGAUCCAGAGAUUUCCGAAUGGGGAAACCCAGCAUGAGUUAUGUCAUGUUAUCGAUAUGUGAAUACAUAGCAUAUCAGAAGGCACACCCGGAGAACUGAAACAUCUUAGUACCCGGAGGAAGAGAAAGAAAAUUCGAUUCCCUUAGUAGCGGCGAGCGAAACGGGAAGAGCCCAAACCAACAAGCUUGCUUGUUGGGGUUGUAGGACACUCUAUACGGAGUUACAAAGGACGACAUUAGACGAAUCAUCUGGAAAGAUGAAUCAAAGAAGGUAAUAAUCCUGUAGUCGAAAAUGUUGUCUCUCUUGAGUGGAUCCUGAGUACGACGGAGCACGUGAAAUUCCGUCGGAAUCUGGGAGGACCAUCUCCUAAGGCUAAAUACUCUCUAGUGACCGAUAGUGAACCAGUACCGUGAGGGAAAGGUGAAAAGCACCCCGGAAGGGGAGUGAAAUAGAACCUGAAACCGUGUGCUUACAAGUAGUCAGAGCCCGUUAAUGGGUGAUGGCGUGCCUUUUGUAGAAUGAACCGGCGAGUUACGAUUUGAUGCAAGGUUAAGCAGUAAAUGUGGAGCCGUAGCGAAAGCGAGUCUGAAUAGGGCGUUUAGUAUUUGGUCGUAGACCCGAAACCAGGUGAUCUACCCUUGGUCAGGUUGAAGUUCAGGUAACACUGAAUGGAGGACCGAACCGACUUACGUUGAAAAGUGAGCGGAUGAACUGAGGGUAGCGGAGAAAUUCCAAUCGAACCUGGAGAUAGCUGGUUCUCUCCGAAAUAGCUUUAGGGCUAGCCUCAAGUGAUGAUUAUUGGAGGUAGAGCACUGUUUGGACGAGGGGCCCCUCUCGGGUUACCGAAUUCAGACAAACUCCGAAUGCCAAUUAAUUUAACUUGGGAGUCAGAACAUGGGUGAUAAGGUCCGUGUUCGAAAGGGAAACAGCCCAGACCACCAGCUAAGGUCCCAAAAUAUAUGUUAAGUGGAAAAGGAUGUGGCGUUGCCCAGACAACUAGGAUGUUGGCUUAGAAGCAGCCAUCAUUUAAAGAGUGCGUAAUAGCUCACUAGUCGAGUGACACUGCGCCGAAAAUGUACCGGGGCUAAACAUAUUACCGAAGCUGUGGAUUGUCCUUUGGACAAUGGUAGGAGAGCGUUCUAAGGGCGUUGAAGCAUGAUCGUAAGGACAUGUGGAGCGCUUAGAAGUGAGAAUGCCGGUGUGAGUAGCGAAAGACGGGUGAGAAUCCCGUCCACCGAUUGACUAAGGUUUCCAGAGGAAGGCUCGUCCGCUCUGGGUUAGUCGGGUCCUAAGCUGAGGCCGACAGGCGUAGGCGAUGGAUAACAGGUUGAUAUUCCUGUACCACCUAUAAUCGUUUUAAUCGAUGGGGGGACGCAGUAGGAUAGGCGAAGCGUGCGAUUGGAUUGCACGUCUAAGCAGUAAGGCUGAGUAUUAGGCAAAUCCGGUACUCGUUAAGGCUGAGCUGUGAUGGGGAGAAGACAUUGUGUCUUCGAGUCGUUGAUUUCACACUGCCGAGAAAAGCCUCUAGAUAGAAAAUAGGUGCCCGUACCGCAAACCGACACAGGUAGUCAAGAUGAGAAUUCUAAGGUGAGCGAGCGAACUCUCGUUAAGGAACUCGGCAAAAUGACCCCGUAACUUCGGGAGAAGGGGUGCUCUUUAGGGUUAACGCCCAGAAGAGCCGCAGUGAAUAGGCCCAAGCGACUGUUUAUCAAAAACACAGGUCUCUGCUAAACCGUAAGGUGAUGUAUAGGGGCUGACGCCUGCCCGGUGCUGGAAGGUUAAGAGGAGUGGUUAGCUUCUGCGAAGCUACGAAUCGAAGCCCCAGUAAACGGCGGCCGUAACUAUAACGGUCCUAAGGUAGCGAAAUUCCUUGUCGGGUAAGUUCCGACCCGCACGAAAGGCGUAACGAUUUGGGCACUGUCUCAACGAGAGACUCGGUGAAAUCAUAGUACCUGUGAAGAUGCAGGUUACCCGCGACAGGACGGAAAGACCCCGUGGAGCUUUACUGUAGCCUGAUAUUGAAAUUCGGCACAGCUUGUACAGGAUAGGUAGGAGCCUUUGAAACGUGAGCGCUAGCUUACGUGGAGGCGCUGGUGGGAUACUACCCUAGCUGUGUUGGCUUUCUAACCCGCACCACUUAUCGUGGUGGGAGACAGUGUCAGGCGGGCAGUUUGACUGGGGCGGUCGCCUCCUAAAAGGUAACGGAGGCGCUCAAAGGUUCCCUCAGAAUGGUUGGAAAUCAUUCAUAGAGUGUAAAGGCAUAAGGGAGCUUGACUGCGAGACCUACAAGUCGAGCAGGGUCGAAAGACGGACUUAGUGAUCCGGUGGUUCCGCAUGGAAGGGCCAUCGCUCAACGGAUAAAAGCUACCCCGGGGAUAACAGGCUUAUCUCCCCAAGAGUUCACAUCGACGGGGAGGUUUGGCACCUCGAUGUCGGCUCAUCGCAUCCUGGGGCUGUAGUCGGUCCCAAGGGUUGGGCUGUUCGCCCAUUAAAGCGGUACGCGAGCUGGGUUCAGAACGUCGUGAGACAGUUCGGUCCCUAUCCGUCGUGGGCGUAGGAAAUUUGAGAGGAGCUGUCCUUAGUACGAGAGGACCGGGAUGGACAUACCUCUGGUGUACCAGUUGUCGUGCCAACGGCAUAGCUGGGUAGCUAUGUGUGGACGGGAUAAGUGCUGAAAGCAUCUAAGCAUGAAGCCCCCCUCAAGAUGAGAUUUCCCAACUUCGGUUAUAAGAUCCCUCAAAGAUGAUGAGGUUAAUAGGUUCGAGGUGGAAGCAUGGUGACAUGUGGAGCUGACGAAUACUAAUCGAUCGAAGACUUAAUCAAAUU
This 2926-nucleotide ribosomal RNA is filed under the name Staphylococcus aureus. RNAcentral's name for it is "23S ribosomal RNA". It matches the Rfam family "Bacterial large subunit ribosomal RNA". Lineage: Bacteria; Bacillati; Bacillota; Bacilli; Caryophanales; Staphylococcaceae. The record is from RNAcentral.